AAAUGUAAGCGGAGAUGCCACAGGCGGGUGGGAUUUAUGCUCGUUGAAAGUGUCCCGUUUUGAACUCGUGAACAGCGCUUUGAACGCUCGCGGAAAUGUCCCUUCUGUGCGUCCGAGUUAAGAAAGCAAAGCUUGAAGGACCUCCAGAUAAGUUCAAUGUCUACGUGACAUUAAAAGUGCAGAAUGUUAAGAGCAC
Long non-coding RNA from Alosa alosa (allis shad), 196 nucleotides. RefSeq lists it as uncharacterized. The transcript has 3 exons. The record is from RefSeq and is a predicted model, not a curated record. Lineage: Eukaryota; Metazoa; Chordata; Actinopteri; Clupeiformes; Clupeidae.